UAAUCAUACCUACUUCAGAUAUUACUUCCAUCUGUUACUCCCUUGGAAGCAAUUCCUUGUUAUGAUUACAUUAUUCAGUAAGAUAUGGAUAAACAUAUUAUAUAUAUUUAACUAAUCUUUAGGUUAGCAUUAUAUUCUGUUCUCUCUCUGAGUCAAAGUUGGAAUAAAUGACAUUCAAAUAAAUGUAAAUAUCACAGUAUUACAGUUGAACUCAGCACAUUGCUCCUGUCUUUAAUUCCUCAGGACUUUCUUCAGAAAACCACUACACUAGUGCAUUUUACACAAUAAGAGCUAUUUCUAUGUCACUGUUCCAUGAGAGGUGGGUCAUUAAAUCCCCUAUAGCAAGUCCUGCAACUAUUUAUAAAGGAUUGGGACGGAGCCAUGUGCUUUUCAGGCCAAUAACGCAGUGGUUGUCAGAACAAAAAAGACAUCUUUGGAGCCCUAAGUUAUGAAAACAUAUCAAAUGUAGGAUGUGCUUACGUGUAUGUGGUUUAUGUUUCUGUGCCGCUGCAACAGAGUUAACAUUGAUCUGUUUGAAAUCCACUAACAUGACUCCCCCACAGAGCAGAGAUAUCUAUAGCCUUGAUGAGACACUGGAGCUACAGAUGGUGACCAGACUCAGGCUGGAGAUCCAGUCAGAAGAGCUGUUUUCACUCUUUCUGGCAGUCUGCCGCUCUGCGAGGACUGAUGGCUGUGAGGCGACGUGUCCUCUGAGAACACAACACAAGGAGCUCUGAUCAAGACCCAGUAUUCAAGGCAUCGUCUUUCAAAACAUUCCACUACAACACAUUUCCAGUCCAGGAACUAUGUGUUGUGCUGCGAUAAACUUUUGGGAAAUGAGUAACCUCCAUUUGUGGAUGAAUCAGCUCGGCCUGGAAUGUCGAAAUAUCCUCUGAAGCACCCCCACUCUACUGGCUUUCAUGAAAGCUGGUUCACAUUUUUCAUAAAAAAAACCCACCAAAACAAUGGAGAACAUGCACAAACCAGAAAGGUAUUUCGGAAUAUAAACAACAGCAAAGCAACAGAAAAGGCCUCAUUGUUCCUUUCAUUCUUCGUCACACCCCAACCUCUGGUAUAGAUGGAGGAGGAACUUGCAGGGGAAAAAUCAGCCGCACCUCCACUCUUACAAAUGUCUCCUGCAUUACUUUGAGCGUGUGCACGUGGAGGAAACAUGAGGGAAUCAACAGCAAAUGCAGAAGAACAUGCUCUUAAGAAAUAUGGGAGUCAGCUGGCAGGACACCAGACGGCUGCACACAACCACCACCACCCCCUGCUCCUUUUAGAAAGGGCCUCGUCUCCACGGCGACUGAAGACAAAAAAGGAGGCCCUGGCACAGCUGGUCUGUAGCAACAGAGAGAGAGAGACAGGAGGAAAAAAAAACAGUGAAUGAGUGUUCAGAUAUACAGACAGCACAGAGGGUGAGGGGGAGUGAGAGACAGCGAAAGCAGCAGUGGAGGAGUCGAUUUGGGAAGAGGAAGGAGAGGAAGGAGAGGGAGGGUGGAACAGGAGGAGGAGAGGGACGUACACAAACUCCCAGAGAACAGGAGGAGAAAGUGGAGCAAGGCUGCAGAAGGAACAGUUGUACAGGAACGGCUGCUGAUCUGCUCAAAGAGUCAAAUUACCUCCAGAGCUGGUGUCUCAGGCUGAACUGGAACAGGCUAAUUAGAUGAAGAGCCUGAGAGCAGCAGGCGCCACAAACAAAACUUGAGAAAAAGGGAGAAAGAGAAGGGGGAGGGUGAAAACAAGAAGAAGUCUGUGAAACAUCGUGGCGACAGUUUUAUGCAUUGCUGAGUUUGGUUCUCCUUUCAGAGAAGAGUUCAGAGAUGGAAACAGUGACACUCACUCUGAAGCUGCACACGUUCACUGCAGAGUGAAACAAGUUCUGCAGAUGCCCGUUUGCUUCGAAAGAAAAGCCUCAGCCAUUACUGCAUCUUGUCUUGCCUCACCUGCAUCUGAAAGUCAGCAUGGAUGCGAAAAAUGAGAUGAUGGAUAUUCUUCAGAAGGUGUGGACCAAACUGCAGGGUCUCCCACAAGCAACUUCGCUGGAGCUGGGAGCCUUCUUUGUGCUCAUCCUGUUUGUUGCCAUGGUUAUCUUCAUGGUCGUGUUGUCCUGCGUCCACUGCUGUUGCUGUGGGAAGCCAAAAUACCAGGGCUCAAGAGUCCAGCCUCUACAGCCCAUCUGAGAAGAAGACAGAGGCAAGAAUCCACCAACAAAUGCAACCUUCACCUUUCUUUCUGCCCUCCAUGGAAUCACCCACAUGGCAAAGCGCAUUUAGCCACACAUUGUAAAUGAGUAGACGAUUCUUUUCAGAGCCACUGAUUUCUUUGAAGGGCAUCAAAUGGGAUUAAUCAAGGGAAGACAGAGAGGUGAUUGCCAUGUAUCCAACUCUGGGUUAAAGACUGAAUCAGCAUCCAGAGAGCCACUGGAAUCCAUAUAAAUCACCAGACUGGCACGACUCAUCAAGAUUCAUCACAAAGGAGAAUAAUGAAACACUGUGUGGCUGCAUUUCAUGGACACAAAGAUAUAAGAAAGCUGAUUUGUGCUCAAACGUCACAGAGACACCAUUAUUACAAAUGUAGUAGUUUGGUAUGCUGUUGACAUUCACUGAGAAUGUGAACAACAACAAUGAAAAUGUACAUUCCAAUAAGUAAAUGUGUGUUGGACUUGAAGUUAUGUGUUUUGAACUACAAAAAAAGAGAGAGAAAGACAGAGCGCCCUCUGCUGGUGAAUUUGUGAGCGUUUGUUUUUGAAAGUUGUGCCAAUAUAAGAUGUGAUCUGUAUAUUCUCUUUAUAUGAAUGAAACUGUCUGCUAUGUUUGGUUGCUUUUAUUUGUAUAAAUGUAUUAAAUGUUCAUUAUAUUUCAAGAAAAACAAAUACAUGUUUCUGUUUGUUGGAUCAUAUGUAAAGAUAGCAGAGGGUGUGUGAAAAUGGUCAUAAUUGUAAAUACUGCUUGUUUUUAUUCCAAUAACAACCAUUUCAUCUAAAUCCCAUGAGCGAAACACUGAACAAGUGUGCAAGCCUUAUCAUUAGACUUCUAUUUGCCUCUGCCAGUCAGUAUUUUGAGUUUAAACAUUAACCAGGCGCUGUUGCUUUCAUUUUGCCCACACAGAGUAAAUGUCAUUGUCACCUGGAAAGCAACAGGAACUGUUCAGAGUUUGGAGUUAUAGAAUGCCUCUUCUGUUCACAGGGUGAUAGGAAACUGCAAUGUCUGGGUUUUUUAAAUAGUUCUGGAGCUGUGCGUGGAUCAAAACAGUAGCUGAAGCUGGGCUCUCACACACUACAGUUUAUUCACCGUCUGUUAGGACUCAGUGAGCUGUGAGAGGAUCAUUUAGCAGGACAUGGCGGUGGAGAGUUUAGUAGAGCAGCAGAAACCAACAGGCUCACCGGAGGACUGGGCGGAGUGGUUCCUGUAUCGUCUACAACGGGAGCCGUGGGCACUGGGUGGUUUUGUGGUCAUUGGAGUGUUCGCUCUGGGAACCCUGUCUCUGGCAAUCUUCGCUCUCCUGUAUGGAUGCUGUUGCAGCCCUAGAGAAGGAAAACCAAACAAGAAGAGGCAGCAGAAGAAGUCAGCGGAUACAGUGAUCUAGAUGUGUGAAGAAAACAGACUCUUGCUGCAGAAUGAAUUUCAACUUAACAGGGAAUUGUUUUGUUUUUAUAUAUGUAUGCGGUGGAAAUCAAAGUUGAGAGUUUUCAGUUUUAAAUAUACCAUUUUUUUCAAAAUAACUUUACAUCAAAUCAUUUUUUCCCCAGUUGUCUUUAUUUCUGUGUUUGGGGAACAGUGGGAUCACAUCGCCAAAAUCUAAUCAUUGUUUAGCUUUGCAGCGGGUUGAUGAUCAGAAUGGUGCACAUGUUACAAACUAAUUUGAACCAGCACUGCUUUUCUAGGUCAGCUAUAUAACAACCUUUUAAAAAAUUUAUUUUCAAAUGAAAGUUAGCUUUUGACUUGUAAUAUCUAAUGUCAUUUCUAAAUAUUUGUAGCCAUCCCCUGUCCAAAAUGUGAACAAAGUCAAUGCUUGUCUUGUAUAAUUUUUAAGAGCCAACAUAAUAAAGGCACUUUAUGAAAAACAUACAAA
Molecule: long non-coding RNA, 4074 nt
Organism: Amphiprion ocellaris (clown anemonefish)
Lineage: Eukaryota; Metazoa; Chordata; Actinopteri; Pomacentridae
Exons: 5
Source: RefSeq, a predicted model, not a curated record